Meleagris gallopavo (turkey) is the source of this 2197-nucleotide long non-coding RNA. RefSeq lists it as uncharacterized. The record is from RefSeq and is a predicted model, not a curated record. Lineage: Eukaryota; Metazoa; Chordata; Aves; Galliformes; Phasianidae.
UUAUUAUUUUAUGUAAAAGAGCAGUUUCAAGAAUAUAUUAAUGAGGAUAAGACUGCAUCAUCAGGAUAGCAUGUCUUUUCAGAAUCAGAAAGAGUGAGCUAAGAAAUAGAAAUGAGCUGGAACUUAUCAGCAGUAAGUGUGAGAUUAGGAUCUUUGAGCACAACAAGGAGGAAGAGGAAACAACGGAGGAAGGAGAUGAACACCAGUACAUUGAUUGAUGGCAGGAUUACUGUAGCCCACCAGACAGUGUGAUCCUAUAAAUGACAAAAAUGAUCACGGGGACAAUAAAGUACUGACAAAGAAAAGGGAGAAGUAGGACCUUUCUACAAGGCCCUAUGCACCUCACCUGAAAUCCUUUAGUUAUGCGUGUCUGUCAUAUUCAGACAAAGUCAAAUUGGGACAGGUGCAGAGGAAGACUGCGAUGUUAAGCAGUUUCUAUUAUGAGUGUCUUGCUUUAUGAGAUUAAGAGCCUGCUAAAUAAAGCCAGUCUUCUGUCCUACAGCAUGUCCAAAGCCUAUGAAUUCUUCCCAUUUUCUACCAAGCCCCACUUCCAAUGGGAAGCAGGUUUUUUUUAAAUAGCCUUAGGAGAAACCACAUACCCUCUCCUGCAUGAUGGCUCUAAGAGGUGGCGGCAAAAAGUGCACCAAAUAGAAGCACCCCAAGCCUUAACCCAUAAGGAAAGAGGAAGCUCAGACUCAGCCUUUCCUGCUGCUCCUGCAGAUUUCUGCUGCUCUCCAUUUGCUUCCCAGAACAAACACAUCACUAAAGGUCAUGUUUUUCAUCGGGGACUGCGAGUUCCUGCACAGGUUGUGCCCAGGGCAGAGCUGCGGCGCAACGCCCCAUGUCCUCACCCGCUCUCACUUCCCUGCAAGGAGCCCAGCGUAAUUGGGUUCCUAUUUUUGCUCUUGCUACAGAGUGCCUGAGAUGGAAAAAAAUCUCUUCUAAGAGGAAACAGGUUUGAAAGAGAAGAAAUAUGCCCCAAGCCUACUGAGCUUAAUGACUAUAGUGAUAUACCCCCUAUACAUGUUUAGACACUUAAAGGAGGUGCUCCAAGUCUUCUUCCUGGUGUACCUGUGCUCUGUAUGGACACUAGUCUCCCAGAGCCCUCUGCGUGUAAUCCCUGCCGUGCAGAGCUUCAGACAGAAGCAUGCUGUCCCAGCACUGGCUGUGAUGAGUGGGGAAGAGAAGUACCCGAGGGAGGCAUGGGGCAGGAAACUCACGCUUGAAAUCUCCGUAGGGUAAAAAAGCGUACUCGGCCUGGUUAGAAAGCUGAGUUCCCAAUGCAGGCUGAAGAAUGCAAUGCCUUCACAACACAGCAGAAAGCCGUCCUGCCCCGAGGCUCUUCCUGAUGGAGGAGCAUCCCUAUCCAUCGCCUGAUGCUCUGCAGGGCUUCCAAUCGGAUCUGGCGGCUUUGUUCUGCUCGAUAGCACGAUAAUGGGUCGUUUCUCCGACCUGCGCCGUGCCGGUAGCAGAGGGGUCGCCGAGGCUCCCACGUUAAGUCACGGGGAUUAGGAAUGAGACACUAGAAGGCAGCUACAGUGUUGCCAUUGAAGCCUGUUCUUAGCCACAGCUUCGCCAACAGACUUCAUUCGCUGGACUUCUUUCCCAGAGCCCGUUUUUAUUCUCUCGUCGGCUUUUUGUCGCGAGUCUUUUUCCGAGCAGCUCUGCAGGCUGUGCCCGUGACACCGCCUUCCAGCAGCCCUCCUUCCAUCCCCACGGCUGCUCCGUGCUCUGCACUGAGCUUCGGGGGACAGAUUCCUUUCAGCUCUGUCCCUCCAAGAAACAACAUUUUACUUUCUACUGCCCUGAGAUGAAUGAACUACAGACCGGUUGCUCCCACCAAGUUGCAUUGAAACACUCUCGUAAUGAUAUAAAAUACUACUAAAUACCAAAUGCACGGAAAGAAACCUGCCAGAUGCCAUGCACAACCAAUUCAAGCAUGGAGAAAUGGAGGCUGCUCACCAGUGGCUGGGUCUGGAAGAGACACAGCACUGAUACUGGCAAGUUUCAUAGUAAUGCUUACUACGGACAGCUCUGGGUAGACUGUGUAGUGGAUAACAGGUCACUCCAAAAUUCCUUCUCCAGUAGGGAUCCUCCAGAUGAAAUCAAUUGGAAUGAACCUGCAUAUGGGUGCAAGAACAGUUUUCAGGUAUCAUGGAUCAUGGAUCUCGCCUUUCAUUUUUCCUGGCUAGUUAAA